Molecule: long non-coding RNA, 1333 nt
Filed under: Ananas comosus (pineapple)
Lineage: Eukaryota; Viridiplantae; Streptophyta; Magnoliopsida; Poales; Bromeliaceae
Description: long non-coding RNA (ACOM_LNC044723)
Source: RNAcentral
AUAAACAUUAAAACAUAUUCCUACUCUUAACUCAUUUUUUUAAUAUGAUAUAUCAAAAUUUACUUUCUUAAAGCUAAUAACUUUUUUGAUCCUUUAUUUUAGGGAUAAUUGCCUAUAUACCCUUCAUACGUUUAGAAAUAUCCGAUUUACCCUUACUUUCUUUUUCUUUCUAAAAUACCCUUCAUAUGUUCCACCGUUAUUGCAAAAUACCUCCGCAAUUAUCUCCUGUUAAGUUAACCUGGGUUAAACGUGAGUUAAAUAUCUACCACAGUUAAAAAAAAUUAAAAUGCCAAUUUUGCCCUUAACUUAAGGGCAAAUAAGAAAGUUUGGUGACGGUAGAGGGGUAUAUUGGAAAAGACCAAAAGUGAAAAUACUUUUUAUACCCCUGACUUUAAGGGCAAAUAAGAAAAAAAGUGAUGAUGGAAGGAUAUAUUUGAAAGGGCAAAAUAGUAAUUUUACAGAGAUAACAGAGUUACUUAAUAGAUUUUAACUCUAAGGGUAUAUUAGAAAUAGGUUGAAACGUAUAAGGGAUAUUUUCAAUAUUAGCCUUCUAAGAGGGGUAAAUUGAAAAAUCGGAAACUUUUUAGGAGUAUAUAAGCAAUUGCCCCUUUAUUUUAAGUCAGAGUGCGCAGCUUUCUUUUUAAAAAAAAAUUCGGCCUCAUUUGUUUAUUUCUACAUGUGAUCCUCAUUGCUUAUGUAAGGAAAUGUUAAUGCAAUAUAUGUUGAAUUAAAAAAUAAAAUAUAAAUAUUGUUUUUGAAAAGCUUAAGUUUGUUAAGACAAAUAGUUGUUGAAGAAUAUAUUUAUAUAUAAAGGGAGAUCGGCUAGUAUACUAUCGAUAACACGAAAGUCUCUGUGCUAUUAAGUUCUCUGUGCUAUUAAGUUGUUUUUGAUGAUGCGGCUUCCAAAUUGUUGAUCGUCUUUGUUAAACUUGAUCAACACUAUUAAUAGUAUUUGAGCAUCAAAUUUUAUAAUUUUUGAACAUCAAUUACCUACGAAACGUGUAGUCUAAAAAUUAAUGGCUAAAAAUAAAAAUCUCAUAAAAAUGGUGAUUAAGGACUUGAAUUUAAGAUCAGAGGUACUGAUUUUACUCUAAAUAGCGAAGAAAAUUUUCUCUAAAAAUUUUAUCGGAUUUGAAUUGUUUUACACCGUUAAAUUCACAAAUGCAUUAUAUCGGCCAUUAAAAAUAUUAAUUUAAGACCUUUUAAUCACUAGUCAAAUAAUAUAAAAAAAAAAUAAAAUUUGGUUUCUAAAUAUUUUCAAUAGCAUAGACCAUGUUUAACAGAGCCGAUCAUUGAUUCGAAAGCUGUAUCAUUGAAAGUAACUUGGUAGCAC